AGCAAUUCACACAGCAAUAGCAGAAACACCAGAAGUCCAUGGUGGCACAGACUACACAGAAAAUCAUUUUUCUUUCCAAAAACAUACUUGUGCUUUACAAAAAACAGCUCAGUCAAUGAAAGCUUUGCACUAGAAAAGUUAAAUGGAAACAAGCAGAACAGAGAUUGCAUGUGCACACCAAGGUGUUAGCCCACAUAAAAGUCCAAGGAAUUUUAAAUAGCCACCACCUUACCUGUAGUGAUAAGGAAAAUCCCAGGAGGAAAAAGAAAAAAAAAUCACUAGCUACUUGUGGCAGAGCACCAGAAUUAUGAAUCCUGGAAAGAACAACUUCAGGAGCAGUUCCGUCACAGCGGCAGCCCCCUCGGAAUCGAGCGGAAUGGAGAAGCAGCAAUAAUUCAUGUUUUUUAUUGUACGGGUUUUCUUUGGUCUCUGUAAUUGCAUGGUGCCCCCCCACUCAGCACCAUAUGGUCCCCCCUCUGUGAAUGCAGACUCCGCCUCUGCACAAGCAGGAUAGGCAGUCUUAUCCACUCCUCCCCAGUCCCUGGUUUUGUUACUGGACUGUGGUCCUUCUGUACCCCCCAUUGGUUAGCAGAGCCCUCAAGCCACUCUCUUUCCCCCAGACCUGGGCCCAAUCACGUUCUUCCUUCUAGCCCUCCCCCCAAGAUGAUAUAAGCCGCGGGACUUUCGAAUAAAGGACUUUUCUCCUUGGAACUCAGAGAAGGAACUAGGUUGCUCUCUCCUCCUGCUAAGGAGGACCGGGUGGCUGAGAUUCCUCUGAGAAACCGCAAGUGAGGAGUCGGAGCAAUCAAUUUCUGUUAAUUGGCGCCCAACAGGAGAACCAUGCGAAAUUUUCUACUGUGUAGAAAAUUUUCUACUGUGUAGAAAAUUUUUGGGCAUCUCCAGGCUCAGGCGACGUAGCGCCCUUGGCUUCCCGCUCAAAUGGAUUUCUGCAACUCAGCAUUGGAUUUCGACCUAGGCCAGCACAGGUGGUAAUAGUAUUACUACAGGAACAUGAACAUUCAAGAACAUUUUGUACCAUCUGAUCUGUUCUUGAUGUGAAUGCAUGAGUCAAAAAAUUGCUCCGAUUAAGUCCAAAUCACUCAUAACUUGCUAAAUGAGACAUUUAGAAGCACAGUAGGGCACAACAGAGGAAAGCUUUGGAUGUACUCAUGCAACUUUCCAGCUCAACAGCAGUGAUGUUACAAAUCUUUAAAGCACACCUCACCCAAAUCGCCCCAGAACAAGAUGUAACAAGUAAAGAUUAUCUCUCCAGACUAGAGCCCAGCCACUGUUAUGACCCAGGUGAGUCUUCUCAAUCUUAUGCUUACCUUGUGAAGUUCACAGAAUGAGAUUAUAUAAUUUAAAAACUCUCAUGCAACCAGAAAUAUGGUAUGUGCCCAACUAGCAAAAAAAC
Molecule: long non-coding RNA, 1414 nt
Organism: Lepidothrix coronata (blue-crowned manakin)
Lineage: Eukaryota; Metazoa; Chordata; Aves; Passeriformes; Pipridae
Exons: 3
Source: RefSeq, a predicted model, not a curated record